Molecule: non-coding RNA, 329 nt
Organism: Pelobates cultripes (western spadefoot toad)
Lineage: Eukaryota; Metazoa; Chordata; Amphibia; Anura; Pelobatidae
Source: the annotation of a GenBank genome assembly
GGGGAGAAGAACCCAGACUCCCUGAAGGAGACCAGUAUACAGGGGCAGGGGGUCGGCACAAUACGCACGGGAUAAGGGCGAGCAACACAACACACGUGUUGCAAAACUAAUUUACCCGCUAGACGCUAGUCCAACCACACAAGUGGCGAUAUUACGACCAGCACUCCAUACUACACUUGCGACUCCGAGAAAGGUAGCAAAUACGGAUUGGGAAAAUAUGAACGUUUAAAGUGUAAUGGUUAAAAUUGUAUACGCUAGCAUUGGAAAUGUGGAACGCGUAAUGUGUGAUGUGAACUACAUAAUGUACGUAUCCAAGGCAGAAAGUGUAC